AGAACGAACGCUGGCGGCAUGCCUAACACAUGCAAGUCGAACGCUUGCCGGGCUUCGGUUCGGCAGGAGUGGCGCACGGGUGAGUAGCGCGUGGGAACCUGCCCUGUUGUGGGGGAUAACCGAGGGAAACUUCGGCUAAUACCGCAUGCGCCCGGGGAAACCCGGGGAAAGAUUUAUCGCAGCAGGAGGGGCCCGCGUCGGAUUAGGUAGUUGGUAGGGUAACGGCCUACCAAGCCUUUGAUCCAUAGCUGGUCUGAGAGGAUGAUCAGCCACACUGGAACUGAAACACGGUCCAGACUCCUACGGGAGGCAGCAGUGGGAAUUUUGCGCAAUGGGGGAAACCCUGACGCAGCAACGCCGCGUGGAGGAUGAAGUCCCUUGGGACGUAAACUCCUUUCGAUCGGGACGAUUAUGACGGUACCGGAAGAAGAAGCCCGGCUAACUUCGUGCCAGCAGCCGC
This 460-nucleotide ribosomal RNA is filed under the name uncultured bacterium. RNAcentral's name for it is "SSU rRNA". It matches the Rfam family "Bacterial small subunit ribosomal RNA", at positions 26 to 518 of the family's 1533-position model. The record is from RNAcentral.